AGUUGAGACUGUCAGUAGGUGUUGCCCGU
This 29-nucleotide non-coding RNA is filed under the name Mus musculus (house mouse). The record is from RNAcentral. Lineage: Eukaryota; Metazoa; Chordata; Mammalia; Rodentia; Muridae.